GAAAAGAACUUUGAUAAAGAGAGUUAAAAAGUGCGUGAAACCGUUAGUGGGGAAACGGAUGCAGUUAGCAAUGCUUCGGCGAGAUUCAGGCGGUCACCUGGCUGGACGGGCAGUGUGUGGAUCCGAAUGGACUGUCGCUGCUUGGCUUGGUCUUGUGCUCGUCGCACUUCUCGUCGGAGCGCGUCAACAGCUGCUUGACUUGAGCGAUACGGUGCUCGGGAAGGUAGGCGUGUGUCUUCGGACUUGCGUUGUUAUAGCCCGUGGCAUUCCCAGUUCGAGUUUGGCAGAGGCGAACGGUGCAUGCUCUCUAGGGGGCUGGCGUCCUUCUCUUGAUCGAUUGUCGAGCAUGGCGGACUGCUUGCAGUGCGUCUGAACUGCUGUUGGUCAUUCGGGAGGAUCGCGCACACUAUGCACCUAGGUUGUUGGCGGCCAUAUGGCUUCAUCUGACCCGUCUUGAAACACGGACCAAGGAGUCUAACAUGUGCGCAAGUCUUGGGGUGACCGAAACCCAAAGGCGCAAUGAAAGUAAAGGCUGCCUGGCAGCCGAGGUGAGAUCUUCGUUCCGCGUGUCCGAAGCGCAUCAUCGACCGACCUAUUCUACUCCUAGAAAGGUUAGAGCUAAGAGCGCAUCUGUUGG
Molecule: ribosomal RNA, 637 nt
Filed under: Pelagia noctiluca
Lineage: Eukaryota; Metazoa; Cnidaria; Scyphozoa; Semaeostomeae; Pelagiidae
Description: eukaryotic LSU rRNA
Rfam family: Eukaryotic large subunit ribosomal RNA
Source: RNAcentral